CACCGAUGUUCAGAGUAGAGUUCAGACUUACCGCAAAAAUCGCGUUGAAGAAGAAGAUGACAUACUGGCACACGAGGCCACAUCCGUCCAAAGCCAUGGUUCAAAACGACGGGACGAGUCUGAAAAGCGUUGCAAUCGUGAGCAGACGACUCCGGAACUCGGCCCCAAAAUCUGUUCUGUGAACUGUAAAUAUUGUAUUCUAACAAGAGAACGGGAGCACAAA
Molecule: long non-coding RNA, 223 nt
Organism: Hippocampus zosterae (dwarf seahorse)
Lineage: Eukaryota; Metazoa; Chordata; Actinopteri; Syngnathiformes; Syngnathidae
Exons: 2
Source: RefSeq, a predicted model, not a curated record